AUGGCUUUAGUUAGGAAAUAUGCAAAGCCAGAUGUAUUCCUAACAAUGACCUGCAACCCCAACUCGGAAGAGAUCACACAUGAACUAGAGUUUGGAAAAACACCACAAGAUCACCCAGACAUUGUUGUUCUUAUUUUUAGGGCGAAGCUAGAAGAAUUAAAGCAACAAUUUGAGAAGGCCAUUCUUGGAAAGGUUACACCAUAUACAUAUGUCGUAGAAUUCCAAAAGAGGGGAUUACCCCAUGCUCACUUUUUGCUCAUCAUGACCGAAAAAUACAAGUACACAUGUCCAGAAUAA
This 297-nucleotide ribosomal RNA is filed under the name Triticum aestivum (bread wheat). RNAcentral's name for it is "partial small subunit ribosomal RNA". The record is from RNAcentral. Lineage: Eukaryota; Viridiplantae; Streptophyta; Magnoliopsida; Poales; Poaceae.